GACUCGGUGGUUCAGUGUUAGCAUGCUCGCCUACCACGCGGGCGGCUCGGGUUCAAUUCCCGUCCGACGCA
Non-coding RNA from Heligmosomoides polygyrus, 71 nucleotides. NCBI's taxonomy places the organism in Eukaryota, Metazoa, Nematoda, Chromadorea, Rhabditida, Heligmosomidae. The record is from Rfam.